GUGAGUGGACUGCGAUGAAGAAUGCCGCAGGGUCUCUGGCUGCACCGCGUCCUGGCUCCUGUUCGUCCCCAGCAACACCUAAGAGUGAAGACACGCGUGUGUAUCUCUCCUGAAGCAGCAUGAAAACUUGAGCUGCCUUUAGAUUCGCCCGUAGGUGGCUUUAUUUAUUUAUUUGUGUAUUUUAGGAGCUGGUGGGGGGUGGGGAGCAUUUCGGGACUGUGGGAACCUCCAGCUCGCACAGGGGGCUUCUCGUCGGUGGCUAGCAUCACGGCCAUCGCGAGAACACUGCCGCCCUAAUGACGGCCUCCUUAGGUGGGAAAAGGCGUAAAGAUAAACACAGAAUGCAGCAGGAAAACUCGGUGAAUGGCAGGUGCAGGCUCCAAGAACUCUCUGAUAAAACGGAACGCUUUAGAAAACGUUUAUGGGGCUUUUAGGAACUGUGAGUCUGUCAAGUGUUAAGAAGCGGCACGCAGUGGGUGACAGAGGAUGCAUUAGGAAAAAGUGGGCUGAUGGCUCCCCCAAACCUGCAGAGCCCCUCCUGGGGCCUUGCCGCAGCCCCUGGAAAGCAGACGCCAAAGCCCCUCCAUUUGGACUGAGUUUGGAAUUAGCACAUGACUUUGAGGUUUCCAAACACUGGAGGCUCGGUUCUUACUCCUCUUCCCUGCCUUAGGCGCGGUCCCAGGGCAUCAUCGCCUGCGGGUGUCAUUUGCUUCAGUUCACCCCGACGGACACCAGGGGUCGCGCACCUAGGGGUGGAUGGAUGGCCGCCCCUCAUGAGGAGGAUGUGUGCUGUGAGGCCGGGGCAGCACCUUCAGGGUAGACCCGUCCCCACGCGGCCAGAGAGGUCCCCACGUGGCCAGAGAGAGCCAUGUCUGCAGCUGUGCUGGGACUACCACCCUGCACCCGCUCCACCCAGGGAAGGUUGUCGGUGUGGCACUGCGGCUGCAGCCGCCUUCGCUUCCCGGCCGGCGGGCUUCACUGUGGUUCAGUAGGGCACUCAGGACAAGGGGCUCUUCUGAACACUCCCCCCCGCCCCAAGGGCCACCAUGGGACACUGCACAAGGGCUGCCCUGUCUGUCCUGCCCCUGGAGCGCCCCCUGCGGAGCUCCACUGCAGGGGGCCAAGACCCAGGAAGGGGCUGUCAACCUUCCCUGGAGCAGGUGCAGUCGGAGCACGCGCCCUGGGCUGCUGGCUGCCAGGGGCCCCGCGAGGGCUGCCCGCCCCAACCGCUCGGCCUCCUUGGGCCCGCUCCCGGUGCCCCCUGAAUCUAGGUGCUGAACCCAGCACAGCCAGACCCCCUGAUGCCUGCACGUUCUCGCUCACAACCCUGGGAAAACUGCAUAGCAGGGGAUAAACAAGACUCGGUUCCAUAUUUGGAGCUGUGGUACAAUCAGAGUCAAAGAGACAGAAAGAAAAAGAGCAAGGCAAGCAUGAAACGGGGGAGGGGCUAUGUAAGCAAUAAACCCCGACACCUGGUUCCGUGCA
RNAcentral lists this long non-coding RNA (1485 nucleotides) under Oryctolagus cuniculus (rabbit). Its description in RNAcentral is "lncRNA (ENSOCUG00000030215.1)". Lineage: Eukaryota; Metazoa; Chordata; Mammalia; Lagomorpha; Leporidae. The record is from RNAcentral.